UAGGGAAUCUUCCACAAUGGACGCAAGUCUGAUGGAGCAACGCCGCGUGAGUGAAGAAGGUUUUCGGAUCGUAAAGCUCUGUUGUUGGUGAAGAAGGAUAGAGGUAGUAACUGGCCUUUAUUUGACGGUAAUCAACCAGAAAGUCACGGCUAACUACGUGCCAGCAGCCGCGGUAAUACGUAGGUGGCAAGCGUUGUCCGGAUUUAUUGGGCGUAAAGCGAGCGCAGGCGGAAGAAUAAGUCUGAUGUGAAAGCCCUCGGCUUAACCGAGGAACUGCAUCGGAAACUGUUUUUUUUGAGUGCAGAAGAGGAGAGUGGAAUUCCAUGUGUAGCGGUGGAAUGCGUAGAUAUAUGGAAGAACACCAGUGGCGAAGGCGACUCUCUGGUCUGCAACUGACGCUGAGGCUCGAAAGCAUGGGUAGCGAACAGG
Molecule: ribosomal RNA, 429 nt
Filed under: bacterium
Lineage: Bacteria
Description: partial 16S ribosomal RNA
Rfam family: Bacterial small subunit ribosomal RNA
Source: RNAcentral